Molecule: ribosomal RNA, 429 nt
Filed under: Bacteroidota bacterium
Lineage: Bacteria; Pseudomonadati; Bacteroidota
Description: Bacteroidetes bacterium partial 16S ribosomal RNA
Rfam family: Bacterial small subunit ribosomal RNA
Source: RNAcentral
UAGGGAAUCUUCGGCAAUGGGGGGAACCCUGACCGAGCAACGCCGCGUGAGUGAAGAAGGUUUUCGGAUCGUAAAGCUCUGUUGUUAAGGAAGAACGAGUGUGAGAAUGGAAAGUUCAUACUGUGACGGUACUUAACCAGAAAGGGACGGCUAACUACGUGCCAGCAGCCGCGGUAAUACGUAGGUCCCGAGCGUUGUCCGGAUUUAUUGGGCGUAAAGCGAGCGCAGGCGGUUAGAUAAGUCUGAAGUUAAAGGCAGUGGCUCAACCAUUGUAGGCUUUGGAAACUGUUUAACUUGAGUGCAGAAGGGGAGAGUGGAAUUCCAUGUGUAGCGGUGAAAUGCGUAGAUAUAUGGAGGAACACCGGUGGCGAAGGCGACUCUCUGGUCUGUAACUGACGCUGAGGCUCGAAAGCGUGGGGAGCGAACAGG